This is a long non-coding RNA of Saccostrea cuccullata (small rock oyster), 282 nucleotides long. RefSeq lists it as uncharacterized. NCBI's taxonomy places the organism in Eukaryota, Metazoa, Mollusca, Bivalvia, Ostreida, Ostreidae. The transcript has 3 exons. The record is from RefSeq and is a predicted model, not a curated record.
ACAUAAUGGAGACGUGGGGUACCAAAAACAGAAAAUAUUGACCAUGUUGAGCCAGUGAGCUGUCUUGGUCAGCACCCAGGUGUAUCCAUCAACACGGGCACGUUAUAUCAAAAUGCAGAUAUGCAUUCCAGGAUGGUGACUGAAGCUCAUCUUUGUAAACACCUAUAUGCCUAGAAUGGACUCCAAAACAGAUUAUUAAAGUUUAACCAGUAUAAUCUUGAAUAUGGACAAAAAGUAUACACUUGGAACACAAACAAAAACAGAUGAGUCCAUGCCAAGCUA